UACGUAGGGUGCAAGCGUUAAUCGGAAUUACUGGGCGUAAAGCGUGCGCAGGCGGUUGUGUAAGUCAGAUGUGAAAUCCCCGGGCUCAACCUGGGAAUUGCAUUUGAGACUGCACGGCUAGAGUGUGUCAGAGGGGGGUAGAAUUCCACGUGUAGCAGUGAAAUGCGUAGAUAUGUGGAGGAAUACCGAUGGCGAAGGCAGCCCCCUGGGAUAACACUGACGCUCAUGCA
RNAcentral lists this ribosomal RNA (230 nucleotides) under uncultured microorganism. Its description in RNAcentral is "partial 16S ribosomal RNA". It matches the Rfam family "Bacterial small subunit ribosomal RNA", at positions 524 to 753 of the family's 1533-position model. The record is from RNAcentral.